AAAUAUUGUUAUUUUCAUACUCACGAUCUCACAACAAAAAUAAAAUUCCAAUUUUACCAUUACCAUCUCAAUUAACUAUUAAUUUUUAGAUGAUAUGAU
Molecule: small RNA, 99 nt
Filed under: Arabidopsis thaliana (thale cress)
Lineage: Eukaryota; Viridiplantae; Streptophyta; Magnoliopsida; Brassicales; Brassicaceae
Description: ATSL266150
Source: RNAcentral